Molecule: ribosomal RNA, 1453 nt
Filed under: uncultured organism
Description: 16S ribosomal RNA
Rfam family: Bacterial small subunit ribosomal RNA
Source: RNAcentral
CAGGAUGAACGCUAGCUACAGGCUUAACACAUGCAAGUCGAGGGGCAUCAGGAAGAAAGCUUGCUUUCUUUGCUGGCGACCGGCGCACGGGUGAGUAACACGUAUCCAACCUGCCCUUUACUCGGGGAUAGCCUUUCGAAAGAAAGAUUAAUACCCGAUGGCAUAAUGAUUCCGCAUGGUUUCAUUAUUAAAGGAUUCCGGUAAAGGAUGGGGAUGCGUUCCAUUAGGUUGUUGGUGAGGUAACGGCUCACCAAGCCUUCGAUGGAUAGGGGUUCUGAGAGGAAGGUCCCCCACAUUGGAACUGAGACACGGUCCAAACUCCUACGGGAGGCAGCAGUGAGGAAUAUUGGUCAAUGGGCGCUAGCCUGAACCAGCCAAGUAGCGUGAAGGAUGAAGGCUCUAUGGGUCGUAAACUUCUUUUAUAUAAGAAUAAAGUGCAGUAUGUAUACUGUUUUGUAUGUAUUAUAUGAAUAAGGAUCGGCUAACUCCGUGCCAGCAGCCGCGGUAAUACGGAGGAUCCGAGCGUUAUCCGGAUUUAUUGGGUUUAAAGGGAGCGUAGGUGGACUGGUAAGUCAGUUGUGAAAGUUUGCGGCUCAACCGUAAAAUUGCAGUUGAUACUGUCAGUCUUGAGUACAGUAGAGGUGGGCGGAAUUCGUGGUGUAGCGGUGAAAUGCUUAGAUAUCACGAAGAACUCCGAUUGCGAAGGCAGCUCACUGGCCUGCAACUGACACUGAUGCUCGAAAGUGUGGGUAUCAAACAGGAUUAGAUACCCUGGUAGUCCACACAGUAAACGAUGAAUACUCGCUGUUUGCGAUAUACAGUAAGCGGCCAAGCGAAAGCAUUAAGUAUUCCACCUGGGGAGUACGCCGGCAACGGUGAAACUCAAAGGAAUUGACGGGGGCCCGCACAAGCGGAGGAACAUGUGGUUUAAUUCGAUGAUACGCGAGGAACCUUACCCGGGCUUAAAUUGCAGUGGAAUGAUGUGGAAACAUGUCAGUGAGCAAUCACCGCUGUGAAGGUGCUGCAUGGUUGUCGUCAGCUCGUGCCGUGAGGUGUCGGCUUAAGUGCCAUAACGAGCGCAACCCUUAUCUUUAGUUACUAACAGGUUAUGCUGAGGACUCUAGAGAGACUGCCGUCGUAAGAUGUGAGGAAGGUGGGGAUGACGUCAAAUCAGCACGGCCCUUACGUCCGGGGCUACACACGUGUUACAAUGGGGGGUACAGAAGGCAGCUAGCGGGUGACCGUAUGCUAAUCCCAAAAGCCUCUCUCAGUUCGGAUCGAAGUCUGCAACCCGACUUCGUGAAGCUGGAUUCGCUAGUAAUCGCGCAUCAGCCACGGCGCGGUGAAUACGUUCCCGGGCCUUGUACACACCGCCCGUCAAGCCAUGGGAGCCGGGGGUACCUGAAGUACGUAACCGCAAGGAUCGUCCUAGGGUAAAACUGGUGACUGGGGC